GACGAACGCUGGCGGCGUGCUUAACACAUGCAAGUCGAACGGAAAGGCCCUGCUUUUGUGGGGUUCUCGAGUGGCGAACGGGUGAGUAACACGCGAGUAACCUGCCCUUGACUUUGGGAUAACUUCAGGAAACUGGGGCUAAUACCGGAUAGGAUCUCCUGCUGCAUGGUGUGCGUUGGAAAGUGUCGGCGGUUGGGGAUGGACUCGCGGCUUAUCAGCUUGUUGGUGGGGUAGUGGCUUACCAAGGCUUUGACGGGUAGCCGGCCUGAGAGGGUUACCGGCCACAUUGGGACUGAGAUACGGCCCAGAAUCCUACGGGAGGCAGCAGUGGGGAAUAUUGCACAAUGGGCGGAAGCCUGAUGCAGCAACGCCGCGUGCGGGAUGACGGCCUUCGGGUUGUAAACCGCUUUCGCCUGUGACGAAGCGUGAGUGACGGUAAUGGGUAAAGAAGCACCGGCUAACUACGUG
This 468-nucleotide ribosomal RNA is filed under the name uncultured bacterium. Its description in RNAcentral is "partial 16S ribosomal RNA". It matches the Rfam family "Bacterial small subunit ribosomal RNA", at positions 28 to 507 of the family's 1533-position model. The record is from RNAcentral.